This 497-nucleotide ribosomal RNA is filed under the name uncultured bacterium. Its description in RNAcentral is "partial 16S ribosomal RNA". It matches the Rfam family "Bacterial small subunit ribosomal RNA", at positions 28 to 507 of the family's 1533-position model. The record is from RNAcentral.
GAUGAACGCUGGCGGCGUGCCUAAUGCAUGCAAGUCGAGCGAACGGACGAGAAGCUUGCUUCUCUGAUGUUAGCGGCGGACGGGUGGGUAACACGUGGAUAACCUACCUAUAAGACUGGGAUAACUUCGGGAAACCGUAGCUAAUACCGGAUAAUAUUUUGAACCGCAUGGUUCAAAAGUGAAAGACGGUCUUGCUGUCACUUAUAGAUGGAUCCGCGCUGCAUUAGCUAGUUGGUAAGGUAACGGCUUACCAAGGCAACGAUGCAUAGCCGACCUGAGAGGGUGAUCGGCCACACUGGAACUGAGACACGGUCCAGACUCCUACGGGAGGCAGCAGUAGGGAAUCUUCCGCAAUGGGCGAAAGCCUGACGGAGCAACGCCGCGUGAGUGAUGAAGGUCUUCGGAUCGUAAAACUCUGUUAUUAGGGAAGAACAUAUGUGUAAGUAACUGUGCACAUCUUGACGGUACCUAAUCAGAAAGCCACGGCUAACUACGUG